AAAUAUUUUCAAAACUCGGUCGUGUUUGUUAACUUAAAAAUAUUUUCAUUUGGUAAAAAGUUUUACCGGUCAACGAGAAAAAGGCCUAUUUACCUCGUAAAUUAUCUUACGCUCUCAAGCAGUGUAAGACAAUUUCCUCUGGUUGAAAAAACAAAGCCUCCUGCACCAAGACUUCCAAUCCCUUCUUUGCCAUCCCUUCC
RNAcentral lists this long non-coding RNA (200 nucleotides) under Theobroma cacao (cacao). Its description in RNAcentral is "long non-coding RNA (TCAC_LNC001434)". Lineage: Eukaryota; Viridiplantae; Streptophyta; Magnoliopsida; Malvales; Malvaceae. The record is from RNAcentral.